CAGCAGCCGCGGUAAUACAGAGGGUGCGAGCGUUAAUCGGAUUUACUGGGCGUAAAGCGUGCGUAGGCGGCUUUUUAAGUCGGAUGUGAAAUCCCUGAGCUUAACUUAGGAAUUGCAUUCGAUACUGGGAAGCUAGAGUAUGGGAGAGGAUGGUAGAAUUCCAGGUGUAGCGGUGAAAUGCGUAGAGAUCUGGAGGAAUACCGAUGGCGAAGGCAGCCAUCUGGCCUAAUACUGACGCUGAGGUACGAAAGCAUGGGGAGCAAACAGGAUUAGAUACCCCCUAGUCCCUGUCUCUUAUACA
Molecule: ribosomal RNA, 301 nt
Filed under: uncultured bacterium
Lineage: Bacteria
Description: partial 16S ribosomal RNA
Rfam family: Bacterial small subunit ribosomal RNA
Source: RNAcentral